RNAcentral lists this non-coding RNA (198 nucleotides) under Acetobacterium bakii. Lineage: Bacteria; Bacillati; Bacillota; Clostridia; Eubacteriales; Eubacteriaceae. The record is from RNAcentral.
AUUGAAUAAGUUAUUACAAGCGCUGUUGAAUAGAAAUUCAACAGAUAACAGGAAAAUGGGUUAAAAUCCCAUGCUGUCCCGCAGCUGUAAUCGAGGAGUCUGAUUUCAUGAUGUCACUGGUAUCCGUAUGAUACUGGGAAGGCGAAAUUAAGAUGAUGAUCCGUAAGCCAGAAGACCUACUUGUAAUGUGAUUCGUUG